RNAcentral lists this transfer RNA (71 nucleotides) under Stegodyphus mimosarum. It matches the Rfam family "tRNA". From Rfam's summary of the family: Transfer RNA (tRNA) molecules are approximately 80 nucleotides in length. Their secondary structure includes four short double-helical elements and three loops (D, anti-codon, and T loops). Further hydrogen bonds mediate the characteristic L-shaped molecular structure. tRNAs have two regions of fundamental functional importance: the anti-codon, which is responsible for specific mRNA codon recognition, and the 3' end, to which the tRNAs corresponding amino acid is attached (by aminoacyl-tRNA synthetases). tRNAs cope with the degeneracy of the genetic code in two manners: having more than one tRNA (with a specific anti-codon) for a particular amino acid; and 'wobble' base-pairing, i.e. permitting non-standard base-pairing at the 3rd anti-codon position. The record is from Rfam by way of RNAcentral. Lineage: Eukaryota; Metazoa; Arthropoda; Arachnida; Araneae; Eresidae.
ACCUUCGUGGUAUAACGGUAGCACACUCGGUGCGUAUUCGAGAGGUCCAGGUUCGAGUCCCGGUGAGGGCA